RNAcentral lists this ribosomal RNA (483 nucleotides) under uncultured bacterium. RNAcentral's name for it is "partial 16S ribosomal RNA". It matches the Rfam family "Bacterial small subunit ribosomal RNA", at positions 28 to 523 of the family's 1533-position model. The record is from RNAcentral.
GACGAGCGCUGGCGGCGUGCUUAACACAUGCAAGUCGAGCGAGGCCCCUCCUUCGGGAGGGUGUCCUAGCGGCGAACGGGUGAGUAACACGUGGGCAACCUGCCCCCGGCUCUGGGAUAACUCCAAGAAAUUGGGGCUAAUACCGGAUAUGACCGCUGACCGCAUGGUCUGGUGGUGGAAAGAUUUAUCGGCUGGGGAUGGGCCCGCGGCCUAUCAGCUUGUUGGUGGGGUAGUGGCCUACCAAGGCGACGACGGGUAGCCGGCCUGGGAGGGUGACCGGGCAGACUGGGACUGAGACACGGCCCAGACUCCUACGGGAGGCNGCAGUGGGGAAUAUUNGGCAAUGGGCGGAAGCCUGACGCAGCGACGCCGCGUGGGGGAUGACGGCCUUCGGGUUGUAAACCUCUUUCAGCAGGGACGNAGCGAAAGUGACGGUACCUGCAGAAGAAGCACCGGCCAACUACGUGCCAGCAGCCGCGGUAA